Molecule: ribosomal RNA, 703 nt
Filed under: uncultured bacterium
Lineage: Bacteria
Description: bacterial SSU rRNA
Rfam family: Bacterial small subunit ribosomal RNA
Source: RNAcentral
GCAAGUCGAGGGGCAGCAUAGGGUGGUAACACUUUGAUGGCGACCGGCGCACGGGUGAGUAACGCGUAUGCAACCUACCUACAACAGGGGAAUAACCCGGAGAAAUUCGGACUAAUACCGCAUAACACAGGGGUUCCGCAUGGGAAUAUUUGUUAAAGAUUUAUCGGUUGUAGAUGGGCAUGCGUUCCAUUAGAUAGUUGGUAAGGUAACGGCUUACCAAGUCAGCGAUGGAUAGGGGAACUGAGAGGUUUGUCCCCCACACUGGAACUGAGACACGGACCAGACUCCUACGGGAGGCAGCAGUGAGGAAUAUUGGUCAAUGGUCGAGAGACUGAACCAGCCAAAUCGCGUGAAGGAAGACUGCCUUAUGGGUUGUAAACUUCUUUUAUACAGGAAUAAAAAGAGGGAUGUAUCCCUUAUUGCAUGUACUGUAUGAAUAAGCAUCGGCUAACUCCGUGCCAGCAGCCGCGGUAAUACGGAGGAUGCGAGCGUUAUCCGGAUUUAUUGGGUUUAAAGGGUGCGCAGGCGGGCUUUUAAGUCAGCGGUGAAAUCUAGGCGCUUAACGCCUAAACUGCCGUUGAAACUGAGAGCCUUGAGUAUGGAUGAAGUAGGCGGAAUUCGUUGUGUAGCGUGACAUGCAUAGAUAUAACGAGGAACUCCGAUUGCGUAGCCAGCUUACUAAGCCAUUACUGACGCUCAAGCA